GAACUGCGAUAAGUAAUGUGAAUUGCAGAAUUCAGUGAAUCAUCGAGUCUUUGAACGCACAUUGCGCCCCCUGGCAUUCCGGGGGGCAUGCCUGUCCGAGCGUCAUUGCUGCCCUUCAAGCCCGGCUUGUGUGUUGGGUCGUCGUCCCCUCCGGGGGACGGGCCCGAAAGGCAGCGGCGGCACCGCGUCCGGUCCUCGAGCGUAUGGGGCUUUGUCACCCGCUCGAUAAGGACCGGCCGGGCGCCAGCCGGCGUCUCCAACCUUUUUUUCCUCAGGUUGACCUCGGAUCAGGUAGGGAUACCCGCUGAACUUAAGC
RNAcentral lists this unclassified non-coding RNA (316 nucleotides) under plant metagenome. Its description in RNAcentral is "partial contains 5.8S ribosomal RNA, internal transcribed spacer 2, and large subunit ribosomal RNA". The stretch from base 1 to 105 matches the Rfam family "5.8S ribosomal RNA", at positions 50 to 154 of the family's 154-position model. The record is from RNAcentral.